CAUGAAAAAAGCGAGGAGAGAAGAUCACCCUUUUCGCCGUCGAGUCGUAGGAAGACGAGGCAAAGGCACUGGCAAAGAAAAACACCGGAGGUAAUAACUGGUUAGAGAUGGAACUUUCAACUUUCCCUCGCACACGUAGGGGAGGUCGGUGUUCUUUUCUACGGAGGGAACGGAUCACGUUGAAGAACUUUCGAGAGGCCGCCGAAGUGAAGGACCGCGGAACGAGAAGAUAGCGACUAAGAAGGUGAUGACAGGCGCUGAGGUCUUGAGCAAAAUCAAAAUGAACGCGUUAAGACCUCUCCCCCGUAUUCAGCAAACACUAGUUCUGUCCCCUAGGUGUCACUCAUGAAGACUAGAAUGUUAGAAAAACAACCGGCACCAAUUGCAAAAGAAGACAAUCAAGAUAUAAUGACAUUUAACAACCCUCAUUAUCAGACUGAUGUGCACCAAUUAGCCGGGUCUAGCGGCGUUUUUUUGAGUUUUGUCCCCUACAUUACAUGUCCUAUCCAAAUCUCGAGCGACAUCCACAUCGUCCUUUCCGGCUCCCGUCUAAACGUCUCCCUCAUCCAGUCCCUCUCCCACGGCCACAGGUCUUCGUACCCGCCGUCGACUCACGUCUCACCUUCUAUUCGGCAUGCUUCUUCUGCCGUCAGCCGAUCGGCCGCCGAUUCGGCCGCUUAACGCGUCAGCUCAGCAACAACGAUCGGCACUAAAAGUAGCUGAGUUUUUAGAUCGGUUCCAAGAGUCCAACUAAUGGUGCGGACGAACAAGGAGUAUCAAUUUGUUUAAACCGAAUGUCUACGAGAAGAACGUACUAGCCAUCGACGCACAAACCUGUAAGUAGGUUUACGUACGGACUACGUAGUAGCGUCGAGAUACAAGUAGCAAACAAACGAACUUUGAAUAAGAUCAAUGGAUACGGUAGUUCGCGCGCACAACUCAAAACUCCUCCUCUAUAAGUAUUGUAAAAGGACGAUCGACUCUAAGGAACAAAACGUUACAAAAGGGUGAUUCGUCCCGGCCAGGACUCUAAAGACACCGGGGCCCGCUCUAAUCUUAGGCCGGGGGGUAUUACAUUUGUAGUUUUCUUUAAGUUAUAUACAUGAAGGAGGCAAGGAUUUAUAUCCAGAAAGAUCUCUAAAGUGUUCACUGAUUUAUGCCUCAUUUUACUUACUUAGAUGUGAGAUUUUAUACAGAUAUAUGUAGGCAUACACCAUCAGGUAUACACCGACACCACCGACACCACGCCCGCAGAGCCGCCGCGGGCUAGGUCUAGACUUCCGGAGGCAAAUGAAGUUGGUCCCAACGGAGGCUACCAAACCGCCGACCUCCACCCUCCACCGAGGCCUCUUUAGGCUCCGGUCGUCACGACCGGUGCUGCCGCCGCUGCGGGCUCCCGCGGCAUGGGAAGAACAUCCACGGCAGGUCCAACGGAGGAGGGGGAGAAGGAAGGUGAGUCGAGCAUACGGCCCGCUUUCGGGUUUAGGAACGGCCUAGCUCGCUGUCGCCGCGAGGCCCGCAACAGUGGGAGAACCCCCACAGCAAGCACCACUCGAACCCUACCUACACUACGAAACCAACGAAACGCCGCCAACCACCGCACCAGCCUCAAGCAGACCACCGCCACGCAACCGCGGGACGGCGGAUACACGAGUCGGAUCCUCAGGAAGAAGGUGCCACGAACCAGAAGUCGUCGGGACGGCCUGAGCCACCUCGCCACGAAGUAGGAUGAGGAACUACCGCCGCAUAGAGCCACCGCACCGCGUCACCUCUAUGCCGCAGGCUACACACCGCUACCUAAGCGCGUCCUCCUGCUUCAACAGACCACAGCACCACGCAGCUACCGACUCACCGGUCUGUUCCAUCUUCGGAGUUAUAAACGAGACUUCUGCCUGGACACCUUCCACCGCCGCUGCUGUGUGCUUACGCAGCUUGGCCAAACAUGGGAUCUGGGUCAUACACCGAGCCGACCCCGAAGGUCGAAAACUACAAUCCCAAUCCACUCACCAGACCCAUCACUGGGUCGAUCGUGGGGAAGUAGUAAAACUACAAUCCGAAUCUGCUCACCAGACCCAUCACCGGGUCGAUCUUUCGGAAGUAGUAAACCUAUCCUCAUCACCGUAUACAACGGUUCUACCGCCUAAGUCCGUAUAACAACAUUAUGAAACAUUCCAGGAGCUCUUAUUAGUUAUUUCACCGGCAUACGUAGAGGGUCUACGUCUCCGGCCCCCAGUUAGGAGGAAAAGAAUUUUUUUUCAUACACCAUCAGGUAAAUUUUAGAGAUUUUUCUGAAUAUAAAUUCUUGCUUACCUCAUAUACACUUAGGAAUCGUCAUUUGUGAACUUUAGGUAGGUUUUAGUUUAUUACUUAUAAAAAUGGAAUUUUAAAAGAAAAUUCUAAGGAUAUAGGUUUAUGCAACUACUUCUCCAUAGUUAUAGUCAGGGUAAGUGUAAAAUAGAUGUGCGUUUUUCAAUGAUUUGCUAAAUUGGAGAGUACCCUGUGAAAUGUUUGGAGUGUAGUGAAAAGGAGUUAUAUAUCGAGACAUGUUCUACGUGUACGAUAAAGGUCAUCCCGUUAUUGGUGUAUUCCAUCUCGAGCUCGUGUUUACCUGGGCAAUAGACCCGCCAAGCAAUACCGUAGCCCUAUGCUGCCCUAGGUGAGGUAACCGGUACAGUGCACGCGGCACUUGGGACCUGCCACCCGGUACAAUCACUGCCUCGAUCUUGCGGCACCUGCCUAGUUUCGUCUCGGCACCGUGUACUGCAAUACAGGAAGGGCUAGGUAGCGGGUCCUUUGAAGGAAAGACCAAUGGCCCUGUCCGUGACUCAUUUACGUCCCUACCACUCGAGCGAUCCCAACAGAGGAUGGAGGCGACGGACCUAAUCAGUGAACGCCUUCGCCGCCUCGAGUAGCCGCUAAGAGCACGCGCUAGUCCCGGCUAGCCUUGCCGGUUUUUAGCUCAAGGAAUACGUCCACUAAUUCUCCUGGUCGCACGACCUUCUCCACUUGCCGUCGCUAUAAGACUACGUCGGCGCUAUGAUGGGUCACAGCGCGGAUACCAACUCGACCCACGCUUACCGGUCUAGACAUGGGCGACUUCCCCGCCGCCCACCUCCGGCUCUUCCCAGUCUCGUGAUAAUCUGUCUAGUUGGGGUAUCGAGAACCCACCUUUUCUUCUCACUCCUAUCGAUGACGACACAGCCCUUCCUGCGGUACAGGAUUGGUCUGAUGACGAGACCUCUUCCGAUAGGGACCAAACGGUUAUUAGGACCCCUGUUACCGUAUCACGGUUGAAACCCAUCUUCGAAACUAAUACAAUAAACUUCGGAUGCUGAAGAUGUUGAACAUAAGCACCCUCUUUGCUAAACCGUAAUAUAUGCUUUUUCCUGUCCCCCUCCGCCCCCAACUCUUGUGAGUCAGCACGGCAACUCUUACGGGACGAGAGUAGUCCAACAACUCUAGGUUCCAGUUACCAACCAUGUAUCGUCUUGUGGCACUCCUCGUGUUGGUGAGGAGCAGAGGAUACAAACCUGUUUCUUAUGUGACUGGUAGCGGUGUUCGUGUAACUAAAUAUGUAAACUCUGGACCAUUUUAUCGUAGUACCAUUCAAAGAAACCUAGGUACCUCUUACACGGUAAGUGUCUUUCUCGGUAUUCCUUGAACACACCCUUUUAAUCGGCACUAGUCCGGCUCCUACUAAACUCCUUCUGAUACUUUCACAAACGCCUCGAACCAAGUUUCCUAGUCGUGAAGUGUAUAUCGCGCCUUCGACUGUUUCUCCCCUCCUAGUCGUCAGACUACAGCCGUUUACCUUAUCGGUUAACGUCAUGUGUAAGAAACCACUACAGUAUUGGAAGCUAUGCUGGAUGUCCUGUUUGUACAUAUUAUAAGGGAAACCGAACAAACAGCCGUACUUGUUGGUAAAAGUCUCGUAGCAUCGUAGCCAAAACCAAGCACUACUCUUCCAACUUUCGAAAAACCCAAAGUUCACUUAAAGACUCCUCGAACGUCGUGUAACAACCCGCCCGACCCGUCCGGUUUGACUCUAACGGAGCAGGGCACCCAACCGACAUUAUCCUCUUCCACGACGUUUCGACCCGCCCGGUACUGGCUACAUCGGAGAGACUUCGAGGCGACCACAUAGAUACGAAUUUCACCAUAUAAUUGAACACACCAAGACAAAAUGUCCCCUCUGGACAUUACUCUUGAUUGAACCGGUAUCUCUCUGUACGACCCUUCUAUAUAUGUUCUCGUUACAAGCUCGUUAAACCUGUAUAAGAUGUACUCACGCUACGAAUGCUCCAACUCCUCUAGUUCUUUCCCUUCGACAUGCGAUGGUACGUGUGACUUCGUCUUUCCUCUCUCUUUACCACACCCCAGAGUAUAUUUCACACGAGUCACCUCCUCUCCUCACACUCACAUCAGUUAAGCGAGUGUACCCUCAUGAGAUGUCAGUACACGACUUCCAUGACCUGAAGUAGGCGUAAUUCCUUUAAGGCGUCUUCGUGUAUCACUUCUCUCCGGGUGCAGUAGAAUGCGUGAUGGUCUUUCUAGUACGGGUGUCUUUAGGAAAAUCGAUACCUGUAAAGUUAUACAUAUACGUACGGUACCUCGGGACAGGCAAACCCACUGUGUUCACAACUCCGAAUACUGGCAGACUAAAGAGAAAAGUUCUUGACGUACCACCUUUACGUUCGAAAACACCUCUAAUCCUUACCCGAACCUGACCUUCUGUCAUAAGACUUUUGCCACUACAACACUUAGUUUAAGUCUGACUUCCCCGUGAACAGUAACGACCCUUGUCUCCUAUUUUAUCGGAACCGUUGCUACUACAAUUAAGUUAUUUACUCAGACCCUUAUCUAACCGUCCUGAAAACGGUGGCUGUUUCUCCUUCCUCUACCCGUCCGGACGCUGGUCGUCAUCCUUCACGGAAUACUUCCCAACUACUUCUCCUGGUACAAAACGUGAUGAACGGCCGCUGUCCCUUUGUUUUUCUGAUGCAUGGGUUUGGCGCCUCUACACGGUAUCGUCCGAUCUUCUGGCGGGCUACGUUCUUGACACCUCAGCUUCCGGUGGCCAUCUUGUUAACGUUGUUUCGUCGCCUCGAUACAGACUUUCUCUCAACUGACUUUUUCAUCCCUACAUGGACCCUGUUAUGGACGUACCAAUCCUAUUUACCAAAUACACAUACUGUUAAACGUCUAUUACGUCUGACAAACAACAUCGAACACAGGAGUACGACUUCGACGUUUAAAGGAAACGCACACAACUAUGUUCACACAGACUUACAUAAAGAAACUAUGAAGGACUCACCUUGAUCAGACUUAUUUAUCUAACACCAGGCUUAUUUGACAUGACUUAGACAACACUCAACCAAACCCAAAACUAGACCCUUAAUACUACACCCACCCGCAACUAACAAGAUGGAGGUCUUAAUACAAAAACCAUGACAGAAUCUCAAACAACCCAUUUAACUUUCUAACAUGAACAUCGACUUACCAAGGUUG
RNAcentral lists this ribosomal RNA (5508 nucleotides) under Triticum aestivum (bread wheat). RNAcentral describes it as "partial small subunit ribosomal RNA". Lineage: Eukaryota; Viridiplantae; Streptophyta; Magnoliopsida; Poales; Poaceae. The record is from RNAcentral.